This 255-nucleotide ribosomal RNA is filed under the name uncultured bacterium. RNAcentral describes it as "partial 16S ribosomal RNA". It matches the Rfam family "Bacterial small subunit ribosomal RNA", at positions 524 to 776 of the family's 1533-position model. The record is from RNAcentral.
GACGGAGGGUGCUAGCGUUGUUCGGAAUCACUGGGCGUAAAGGGCGCGUAGGCGGCCUGGGAAGUCGGCUUUGUGAAAGCCCGGGGCUCAACCCCGGAGGUGCGGCCGAUACUUUCAGGCUCGAGGCCGGAAGAGGAGGGUGGAAUACCCAGUGUAGAGGUGAAAUUCGUAGAUAUUGGGUGGAACACCGGUGGCGAAAGCGGCUCUCUGGUCCGGUCCUGACGCUGAGGAGCGAAAGCGUGGGGAGCAAACAGG